GUGUCAGCAGCCGCGGUAAGACGUAGGGGACGAGCGUUGUCCGGAUUUAUUGGGCGUAAAGCGCGCGUAGGCGGUUUGGUAAGUCGGAUGUGAAAUCCCGUGGCUCAACCGCGGGACUGCAUCCGAUACUGCCCGACUAGAGGUAGGUAGGGGAGAUCGGAAUUCCUGGUGUAGCGGUGAAAUGCGCAGAUAUCAGGAGGAACACCGGUGGCGAAGGCGGAUCUCUGGGCCUUACCUGACGCUGAGGCGCGAAAGCUAGGGGAGCGAACAGGAUUAGAUACCCUGGUAGUCCUAGCCGUAAACGUUGGGUGCUAGGUGUGGGGGGACAUCGACCCCCUCCGUGCCGAAGCUAACGCAUUAAGCACCCCGCCUGGGGAGUACGGCCGCAAGGCUAAA
Molecule: ribosomal RNA, 396 nt
Filed under: uncultured bacterium
Lineage: Bacteria
Description: bacterial SSU rRNA
Rfam family: Bacterial small subunit ribosomal RNA
Source: RNAcentral